UACGGUAGGGGCAGCGUUGUCCGGAUUUAUUGGGCGUAAAGAGCGUGUAGGCGGCCAGACAGGUCCGUUGUGAAAACUCGAGGCUCAACCUCGAGAUGUCGAUGGAAACCGUCUGGCUAGAGUCCGGGAAGAGGAGUGUGGAAUUCCUGGUGUAGGCGGUGAAAAUCGCGCAGAUAUCAGGAAGAACACCUAUGGCGAAGGCAGCACUCUGGGACGGUACUGACGGCUGAGACGCGAAAGCGU
RNAcentral lists this ribosomal RNA (243 nucleotides) under uncultured bacterium. RNAcentral describes it as "partial 16S ribosomal RNA". It matches the Rfam family "Bacterial small subunit ribosomal RNA", at positions 524 to 762 of the family's 1533-position model. The record is from RNAcentral.